AUACGAAGGGUGCAAGCGUUAAUCGGAAUUACUGGGCGUAAAGCGCGCGUAGGUGGUUCGUUAAGUUGGAUGUGAAAGCCCCGGGCUCAACCUGGGAACUGCAUCCAAAACUGGCGAGCUAGAGUAUGGCAGAGGGUGGUGGAAUUUCCUGUGUAGCGGUGAAAUGCGUAGAUAUAGGAAGGAACACCAGUGGCGAUGGCGACCACAGGGGUUAAAACUGGAACUGAGGUGCGAAAGCGGGGGGAGCAAACAGGAUUAGAUACCCUGGUAGUCCACGCCGUAAACGAUGUCAACUAGCCGUUGGGAUCCUUGAGAUCUUAGUGGCGCAGCUAACGCAUUAAGUUGACCGCCUGGGGAGUACGGCCGCAAGGUUAAAACUCAAAUGAAUUGACGGGG
RNAcentral lists this ribosomal RNA (396 nucleotides) under uncultured bacterium. RNAcentral's name for it is "partial 16S ribosomal RNA". It matches the Rfam family "Bacterial small subunit ribosomal RNA", at positions 523 to 918 of the family's 1533-position model. The record is from RNAcentral.